RNAcentral lists this long non-coding RNA (286 nucleotides) under Zea mays. RNAcentral's name for it is "long non-coding RNA (ZMAY_LNC002359)". The record is from RNAcentral. Lineage: Eukaryota; Viridiplantae; Streptophyta; Magnoliopsida; Poales; Poaceae.
ACUCAGUGGAAAUGGAGUUCUUCACAGAGUACAGAGAGGCAAGCCAGUACCAGACGGAGUAGUUGAUGCAGCUGUAAACACCCUAUAAGGUAUCCUUGCCAAAUUUAAGUUCCAUUCUGGUUGAAGCUUCUUUACUUCCUUGUCAUGAAAGAGAAAAUUUCCACCCUUGCUACAGAUUGUCAACUCGGUUGUGAUGAAUCUUGUUGUUGAAGAUGGUUGCCACAUCCAAGGUUCUGUUGUAUGUAAUAAUGUUCAGCUGCAAGAACGAGCGGUUAUUGAGAGAUUG